This 400-nucleotide ribosomal RNA is filed under the name uncultured bacterium. RNAcentral's name for it is "bacterial SSU rRNA". It matches the Rfam family "Bacterial small subunit ribosomal RNA", at positions 355 to 746 of the family's 1533-position model. The record is from RNAcentral.
UGGGGAAUAUUGCACAAUGGGCGCAAGCCUGAUGCAGCAACGCCGCGUGAGUGAAGAAGGCCUUUGGGUCGUAAAGCUCUUUCGGCCGGGAAUAAGGGUUCUACGGUAAACAAUCGUAGGAUUUGAAUGUACCGGAAGAAGAAGCACCGGCUAACUACGUGCCAGCAGCCGCGGUAAUACGUAGGGUGCGAGCGUUGUUCGGAAUUACUGGGCGUAAAGGGCGCGUAGGCGGGUUUGCAAGUCGAUUGUGAAAUCCCAAGGCUUAACCUUGGAGCUGCAGUCGAAACUGCAAGUCUUGAAUGUCUGAGAGGGUGGGAGAAUUCCUGGUGUAGUAGUGAAAUACGUAGAUAUCAGGAGGAAUACCGGCGGCGAAGGCGCCUACCUGGCAGUACAUUGACGC